GUGUCAGCAGCCGCGGUAAUACGUAGGGAGCGAGCGUUGUCCGGAUUCAUUGGGCGUAAAGAGCUCGUAGGCGGCUUGGUAAGUCGGAUGUGAAACCUCCAGGCUCAACCUGGAGUCGCCAUCCGAUACUGCUAUGGCUAGAGUCCGGUAGGGGCCCACGGAAUUCCUGGUGUAGCGGUGAAAUGCGCAGAUAUCAGGAGGAACACCGAUGGCGAAGGCAGCAAACUGGGCAUUAACUGACGCUGAGGCGCGAAAGCGUGGGUAGCAAACAGGAUUAGAAACCCCCGUAGUCC
RNAcentral lists this ribosomal RNA (293 nucleotides) under uncultured bacterium. RNAcentral describes it as "partial 16S ribosomal RNA". It matches the Rfam family "Bacterial small subunit ribosomal RNA", at positions 505 to 796 of the family's 1533-position model. The record is from RNAcentral.